GCUGAACUCGUUGCACACUUCAGCCUCCUACGGACGUAUCCUUCACAUGCCGAAGAGAAAGUUUCAAUGCUCCAUGGCGCCGAGUUUCGGUCGCCUUGGGAUGGCCACGAACAUUCCAUCGUCCGCAUACAAGCCCAUGCAUGAGUACCAAAUUCUUCGAGUUAGCAAUUCCCCUCACCUCUGUGAGCUUUGCAUAACUCUUUUGGUCGUUGAGCAACUCAUUCCACCU
This 229-nucleotide long non-coding RNA is filed under the name Musa acuminata (dwarf banana). RNAcentral describes it as "long non-coding RNA (MACU_LNC009230)". Lineage: Eukaryota; Viridiplantae; Streptophyta; Magnoliopsida; Zingiberales; Musaceae. The record is from RNAcentral.